UGUUAAAGCUUCAACCUCAAUCACCUGAGGCCUUGAUGCCAUCCUUUUGAAUUUUACCUUGGACUUCAAUUGUUUCCCUCUUACUGUAGAGGCUCUGGUAGCGUUUUUGGUCCUUCUUGUUGAGCUUUAUCAGUCCUGCUUAUCUGGAAGUGUGCACGUCUACUACUCUGGAAGCAUGCUGAAUGAGCUACUGAUACCACUGUAGCUUUGGCACUUGAGAGAGAAAAAUAUUUUGAUAGUUUGAACCUGAAUCUUGAGGUAGCUUCUAAGUUUCUUAUCCCGGUGUAACUAGAAUUUGAAUAUUGGUAGAUUUAGUUUGUAGGAUUCUACACGCUUAUGGUAAUGUGUUUAUAAUGAGGCCUGUGAUCUGCUUGCUUUUUCUUGUUUGUUUAGCUGAUCCAGAAUGAUAUUCUUCUUUUUU
This 421-nucleotide long non-coding RNA is filed under the name Coffea arabica (coffee). RNAcentral's name for it is "long non-coding RNA (CARA_LNC003461)". The record is from RNAcentral. Lineage: Eukaryota; Viridiplantae; Streptophyta; Magnoliopsida; Gentianales; Rubiaceae.